RNAcentral lists this long non-coding RNA (991 nucleotides) under Trifolium pratense (red clover). RNAcentral describes it as "long non-coding RNA (TPRA_LNC005595)". The record is from RNAcentral. Lineage: Eukaryota; Viridiplantae; Streptophyta; Magnoliopsida; Fabales; Fabaceae.
AGGUAAGAUAUUUUUUUACCCUUUCAAAUUUACUAUUUUACUUCAUUAACAAUAUUUAUUCAAUUGUAUUUAAAUAUUUUAUUUUCUUUUUCUUUCAGCAUUAUAUACAAGAUGUUACUCAGACUCUGAUUGUCCAAAAGAGUUGUGCCCCAAACCUCGUACGAAACCAAAGUGUGUCGAUUUCGUAUGUAGAUGUGUUAAAAUAAUUUAUCCAGAUAAAUAGUGUCAAAACGAAGAGAGUCCACAAAUGUUGUACUAGAAUAUUUCAUGAGUUAUAAUUUGCUUGUUGAAUUGUCCUGCAAUAAUUUGAUUUUAUUUUUGCUUUUGUUUUUCUAGUUUCAAUAACCUCGUCAUUAUGGAUUUGUAAUCUAAGUAAUGUUAAUGAAAUGAAAUAAGGUAGCAAUAAUAUUAUCUAGAUUGUUUUCUUCUCUCUUAAUUUAAGAGAUAUCGACACACACACAUAUAUGAGUGGACGUCAGGAAUAAAUAUCUUUGGAAUUUGGCUUGUCCUCUGUUAUUGAUGUGUUUUCGUUGUCAUGAUCCAUGGUGUGAUGAGAGCACCAAUGAAAUGGACAGAGAAUCGAAAGGAGCAAAGUAUCGAAGAAAAUAGCAAUUGAGAUGAACAAAGUAUAACCGAACAGAGUAAAAUCGAAGGAACAUGGUAUAAUUCCAAACGAAAUAGCAAUUGUAUUGAAUAAUAAGUGUUGAGUAUGGUUCAUAUAUGCAUCAGGAAGAGCAGGGGUAUUUACGACAUUCUAUUAGUAUUAUAUAUACCGCUUGUAACACUGAAACCCUAAUUCAUUCUUUCAUCUAAUAGAAACGAGCUGUAGCGAAUUCUGCAGCCGGAGACGUACCUAAGGGGAACUCCGUUAUCAAACUUCUUGUGUUCUUAUUGUUUGCAAUUUCGUUAUUAUUACCUUCUGUUACUAUUUGUGCACAACAAUAAGCAAGGAUUGUAGAUCCAAAACCCCUAACACAGACUAAUGGUUAAA